This 336-nucleotide long non-coding RNA is filed under the name Mytilus galloprovincialis (Mediterranean mussel). Lineage: Eukaryota; Metazoa; Mollusca; Bivalvia; Mytilida; Mytilidae. The record is from RNAcentral.
UGUAAUUUAAGACUUUUAGGUAUUAGAGACAACAUUAAAAGACCGAUAUGUAGGAUAAAGCAAACAUCGUAAUUCUCAUAAUUAUUAAUACCGUAUCUGUCUGUCUGUCUGUCUGUUCUUGUCUUGUAUUGUGAUUAGACUUUGGUGAUUUUUUUAUGACUAGAUUUAAAUAUAGUGACAUUGCAGUAUUAUACUUUAAGUACUAGUACUGCUUAAGUCUACACUAUAGGGACCAUCUUUACCUUGUUUUACGAUCUUUUACGGUAUUAAUGAUUCUUUAAAAGUAUUGUUGAAGACCAUCCGGCAACUAUCAAGAUGAAGAGUAGGAAUACAAAC